This 459-nucleotide ribosomal RNA is filed under the name uncultured bacterium. Its description in RNAcentral is "partial 16S ribosomal RNA". It matches the Rfam family "Bacterial small subunit ribosomal RNA", at positions 338 to 795 of the family's 1533-position model. The record is from RNAcentral.
CCUACGGGGGGCUGCAGUGAGGAAUAUUGGUCAAUGGGCGCGAGCCUGAACCAGCCAAGUCGCGUGAGGGAAGACGGUCCUAUGGAUUGUAAACCUCUUUUGUCGGGGAGCAAAAGACGCCACGCGUGGCGUUCCGAGAGUACCCGAAGAAAAAGCAUCGGCUAACUCCGUGCCAGCAGCCGCGGUAAUACGGAGGAUGCGAGCGUUAUCCGGAUUUAUUGGGUUUAAAGGGUGCGCAGGCGGAAGAUCAAGUCAGCGGUAAAAUUGAGAGGCUCAACCUCUUCGAGCCGUUGAAACUGGUUUGCUUGAGUGAGCGAGAGGUAUGCGGAAUGCGUGGUGUAGCGGUGAAAUGCAUAGAUAUCAUGCAGAACUCCGAUUGCGAAGGCAGCAUACCGGCGCUCAACUGACGCUCAUGCACGAAAGUGUGGGUAUCGAACAGGAUUAGAUACCCUGGUAGUC